Molecule: ribosomal RNA, 843 nt
Filed under: Triticum aestivum (bread wheat)
Lineage: Eukaryota; Viridiplantae; Streptophyta; Magnoliopsida; Poales; Poaceae
Description: partial small subunit ribosomal RNA
Source: RNAcentral
AUGGUGCUCGUCGGCACAGAAGCCAUGGAGAUCAGAUCGGCAACUGCCGAUCGAUUUCACGGAAGCAGUUACCAAGAAGAGAACGAACAAUGCGUCCGUGGCUAUCGUCCAUGGCAGCAAGGUAUGACGGCCACAGCGGCCUCCUACGGCCUCAACCCCAUCCCUCCUCCUCCCGGCGACGUGCCGCAUCAGCGGCAGCGGUGCAGCGCCCACCACCACGGUGUUGCGCCUCGCGCCCUCGCCCCAGCCAUGGCGGGCAGCGCCCUCCCAUGCUCCGGCUCGACGCACGACACGUGGCCUGCACGCUGUUGCAGCCACGGCUAUCCCGUAGCUGGCGGCGUCGCCUUAGCCCGUCUGGAUCGAGGUGGACUCUCACAACGAGGCCUCCCCUCUGGACAGGCGGCAGCGCCCGCAUCACGGCCACGGGCGUCGCCUUCGCGUGACCCGUUCUUCCGGUUGCACAACUUCCGACGACAGCGUCCUCGUCUGCUCUCGGCAACGGCGCGGCCAUCCAAAGCGUGCCGCCUAUGGUGCUGGAUGCGGCGAAGGACGGCCCGGCGCGGAGAGCCCCUCCCGCAGCGGCAGCGUGGCUCGCCCUCCUAUGCCGGCGACUCGACGUCGUUCCCACACAACGGUGGUGUAACCACGCAUAGAGAGGGCCGAUGGAGGCUUAUCUCUUUGUUGUUUUUCAGUUCUACCAUCGAGGUUUUACUGAUUCACGGAUUAGGACAUGUUCAAUGUAUUUGCGCUCUAGCAAUUCCUACAACAUGUUCUUUACCGGCACAACAACAUUGUUUUGUGAUUGAGAUUAAAUUUUCUCGCAUAACAAUAUUGAUUUUGUGA